GACGAACGCUGGCGGCGUGCUUAACACAUGCAAGUCGAACGGAAAGGCCCUGCUUUUGUGGGGUGCUCGAGUGGCGAACGGGUGAGUAACACGUGAGUAACCUGCCCUUGACUUUGGGAUAACUUCAGGAAACUGGGGCUAAUACCGGAUAGGAGCUCCUGCUGCAUGGUGGGGGUUGGAAAGUUUCGGCGGUUGGGGAUGGACUCGCGGCUUAUCAGCUUGUUGGUGGGGUAGUGGCUUACCAAGGCUUUGACGGGUAGCCGGCCUGAGAGGGUGACCGGCCACAUUGGGACUGAGAUACGGCCCAGCCUCCUACGGGAGGCAGCAGUGGGGAAUAUUGCCCAAUGGGCGGAAGCCUGAUGCAGCAACGCCGCGUGCGGGAUGACGGCCUUCGGGUUGUAAACCGCUUUCGCCUGUGACGAAGCGUGAGUGACGGUAAUGGGUAAAGAAGCACCGGCUAACUACGUG
Molecule: ribosomal RNA, 468 nt
Filed under: uncultured bacterium
Lineage: Bacteria
Description: partial 16S ribosomal RNA
Rfam family: Bacterial small subunit ribosomal RNA
Source: RNAcentral